CACAAGGAGGAUUAGGGUUUUUGCACCUGCGCCGGGUACGCCCGGCGUAACUCUAGGUACGCCCAGCGUACCUUGGCGACUCCGCGUCCAAAUUAAGCGCGUGANAUUAAGCGCGUGAGUACGCGCAACGUACCCCUCUGGUACGCCCAACGUACUCACUUGCUACACAUCUUCCACUCAAGGACUAAAUAUGACAAUUCGAUAAAGAACAAGGAUGAAGGAAACAUACCUGAAUCUCGGGAUGUUACAAUUCUCCCCCACUAGAACUAGACUUCGCCCUCGAAGUCUCAUUCCUCGAACAACUCUGGAUGCUGCCCUUGCAUCUCCGAAUCUGACUCCCAAGUCAUCUAGGAUCCCUUCCAAUGUUGCCACUGAACCAAAACUGAAGGUACUUCCUUGCUCCUCCUAACCUUGAUCUUCCGAUCUCUGAUUGCCACCGGUCUCUCAACAUAAUUCAGGCUCGCAUCCACCUGAAUAUCCUCCAAUGGUACCACUGCCGACAAAUCGGCUAUUCACUUCCGCAAUUGUGACACGUGGAAAGUGUCAUGGAUCUGACCUAACUCUGCAGGUAGCUCCAAACGGUAGACUACUCUGCCUACCCUUGCAACCACCCAAAAAGGACCAAUAUAACGGGGCCCCAACUUGCCCCUCUUCCGGAAUCGGAUCACUCCUUUCCAAGGAGAGACCUUCAGGAGCACAAGGUCGCCGACCUGGAACUCGAACUCGAACCGGAGCCUAUCCGCAUAACUCUUCUGACGACUCUAAUCGGUCAAUAACCUAUGCCUGACCUGCUGAAUCUGCGCAGUCGUCUGCAGCACAAUCUCCGUACUACCCAUAACACGCAGUCGGACCUCUCCCUAGCAAAUGGGGGUCCGACACCUCCUCCCAUACAACAACUCAAAGGGUGUCAUACCAAUGCUCGAAUGAUGGCUGUUGUUGUUGGAAAACUCAGCCAAGGGCAAAUACGUGUCCCAACUCCCCCCGAAAUCCAACACACAUGCCCGGAGCAUGUCCUCGAGCGUCUGAAUCGUCCGCUCACUCUGUCCGUCAGUCUGGGGGUGAUAUGCGGUACUAAAAUGCAGCCUAGUACCCAACUGCUCGUGAAACUUCUUCCAGAAUCUGGAAGUGAAACUCACAUCUCGGUCUGAGACAAUCGAGAUCGGCACUCCAUGCCGUGAUACCACUUCCCUCACGUACAUCUCUGCUAACUUCUCUGCGGAAGAGCUCUCACUGAUAGCAAGGAAGUGGGCGCUCUUUGUUAACCUGUCCACAAUCACCCAAAGUGCGUCGACUCCCCUAGCAGUCCUUGGCAAUUUGGUGAUAAAAUCCAUGGUAAUCUGCUCCCACUUCCAUCCAGGAACCGUCGACGGCAGCAACUUACCAUGCAGUCUCUGGUGCUCGGCCUUAACCCUACGGCAGGUCUAAAUACAUCUUAGUGGCCCCAGGAUGGAUCGAGAAUUUCGACCGAUGAGCCUCUUCCAUCAAAAUGGUACGCGUCCCUCCCACAAACGGUACCCAGAUACGCCCCUGGAAUGUCAUAAGCCCCCGACCAUCGGUAACGAACUCCGAAACCAACCCAACAACUCGCUCUCUCAUCUGCAUCUCAGGCUGCAAAGCCUCAGCCUGUGCCCCAUGAACGGCGUCCAACACUGGAGCUAUCACAAUCAAUCUCAAACAUAUAUCUCGCAACGGGGUGCUCUCCGCCCUACGGCUCAGUGCAUCGGCUACAACAUUAGCCUUGCCCGGGUGGUACAGGAUCUCACAAUCAUAUUCCUUGACCACAUCCAACCAUCUCCUCUGUCGCAUGUUUAGGUUGGGCUGAUCCAUCAAAUACUUAAUGCUCUUGUGGUCCGUGUAUAUCAUACACCGAACCCCGUAUAGAUAGUGACGGCAAAUCUUGAGGGCAAACACCACUGCUCCCAACUCUAGAUCGUGGGUGGGAUACCUCGUCUCAUGAGGCUUCAGCUGCCUCGAUGCGUAUGCUAUCACAUGCCCUCUCUGCAUCAGCACCGCUCCCAACCCCAAGAUCGAGGUAUCCCAAUACACCACAAAGUCCUCCAUCCCCUCUGGGAGGGAUAAAACUGGGGCUUCACAUAGCCUCUGGCGAAGCGUCUCAAAGGAGGUCUGCUGCUCUGGUCCCCAUGAAAACGCGACACCCUUCCGGGUUAACCUGGUGAGUGGCACGACGAUCUUGGAGAAAUCCCUGACAAAUCUCUGAUAAUAGCCUGCCAACCCCAAGAAACUCCUGAUCUCGGAUGGUGACCUCGGAACCUCCCAACUCAUCACUGCUUCCACUUUGGUUGGGUCGACCAAAAUCCCCUUCUGGUUAACGAGGUGCCCUAGGAACUGGACCUCUCGCAACCAGAAAUCACACUUGGAGAAUUUGGCGUAAAGCCUCUCCGAUCUCAGAACUCCGAGGAUCUCCCUCAAAUGCUCAUCAUGCUGCUCUCUGGAUCUCGAAUACACAAAAAUAUCGUCGAUGAACACGAUCACGUACCGAUCCAACAUCGGCCUGCACACUCUGUUCAUGAGAUCCAUGAACACUGUCGGGGCAUUGGUGAGUCCGAAAGGCAUCACCACAAACUCAUAAUGCCCAUAACGAGUCAUGAACACUGUCGGGGCAUUGGUGAGUCCGAAAGGCACCCUUACCUGAUGAUACCCCGAACUCAAAUCGAUCUUGUAGAACCAAGAUGCUCCCUGCAACUGAUUAAACAAAUCAUCGAUCCUCGGCAACGGGUAACGGUUCUUGACCGUCACCUUGUUCAACUCCCGGUAAUCAAUGCACAUCCGGUGUGAACCAUCCUUCUUCUUGAAAAAAAGGAUAGGCGCUCCCCACGGCGAGCUGCUUGGCCGAAUAAACCCCUUCCCCAACAACUCCUGAAGCUGCGAGGAUAACUCUUGCAUCUCUGGAGGUGCAAGGCGAUAGGGCACCUUGGCAAUAGGCGCGGCCCCCGGAACCAAAUCGAUAUUGAACUCCACUUGCCUCACCGGAGGCACACCCGACAACUCCUCUGGAAAUACAUAUGGGAACUCACGCACUAUCAGAACCUCCUCAACUGACCUCGGUCUCUCUGAAUCAACCCGCAUAUCCAUCACAUACGCCACAAAGCCCUUACAGCCCUAUUGUAGACACUGCCUCACCCUAGCGGCCGAACAAAACGCUGACCCGUAACUUGUACCCUCACCGUACACCGUAAGAACUCCCCCACUAGGGUCUAGUAUGGUCACCAGCUGUCGCUCGCAGUCGAUAACCACACCGAAUCUGCUCAACCAGUCCAUGCCCACAAUAACACAGCCAUCACCCAUCGCAAUAGGAACCAAAUCAAUCGGGAACUCAACACUGAAAAUCUUGAAUACGCACCCACAGAUCACCUCCGUGGCAUAUAUCACCCUCUCCUCAGCUAUGGAAACUCUCAGAGGCCGACUCAACGCCUCACGACUAACACUGAUAUGCUGACUAAAAGCCAGAGAUACAAAAGACCGACUCGCACCCGAGUCCAAUAACACCAAGGCAGGCACAUAAUUUACAAGAAAAGUACCUACGCAUAACAUAAUAUAAGCAUACUAUCUCAACAUCAAAAUAAAUACACAAAAGAAUACAUAACAACCAUGACAUCGGGCGCUGCGUGGACCUCUUCCGCGGUGAACUGAAAGGCUCUCCCUCGUGCCCUCGGCGCCUCGGCUUUCACUGGCCGACUCUCAGUAGCUCUGAAGGCGGCAGGGGUAGAUCCCUGAGGUGCUCCCUAUGUUGAUCCCCGCAACUGCAGACACUCUGCCUUCCGGUGUCCGGUCUGGUUGCAGCGAAACAUACUGCAAACCCCUUGGGGCAGUCCUUAGCCAUAUGCCCCUCCUUUCCACAUUUGUAGCAAGACCCUGCUCUGUACACACCGUCGUGGCUCUUGCCGCACUUGCCACAAGUGCGCCCCUCUGGCUCCCUGAUCACGAAUCGGUGGGCUUGGCCCGCUUAGCUACCGGCUGAGACAACACCGGUCGCCGAUCCCUCCCCUGAGACUCAGCCUCCUCCCUAGCCUGAGUCUCCAGCUCUAUCUCCUUUUUCCGGGCAUUUGCCUGAAGCUCGACAAACAUCCGGUACAUCGAGUUCUCCACGAACUCACGUAUGUCCCUCCUCAGAAUGCUCAAAUAUCGACUCAUGCGUUGUGACAUCCCCAAAAUCUUGGCCAGAAAAGACUGAUUUUCAUUUAUGCUUUUAAAAUAUUUUCAGAUUAAAUCCUUUUGAUUUGAAAGAGUUGCGGAAUUUGUUCCCAAAAACAAAACAUGAUAAAACAUUGUUUACCGAAGCAUUUCAUAAAAGAAAUGUAUUUUCAUUAUAAUCAAAACUCGGGGUGUCAUGUUCCGAAUACAGACCAAUAAGCAUAAACGAUAACAUUACAAGUCAUUCAAAUUUAUGUACAUAUACAGACUUGUAAACAAAACAACUUGAUGGUUCGUCCAUCAUACGCCCUCGCGCCAGUUCCUGUAAUACAAAUAAAACUGAGUGGGUCAGGCUUGGGAGCCUGGUGAGCAUAUAGGGUUUUCAACCCACAAUAAAUAUCAUAUUUAAUUUUCACCAACCAACAAUAACCCAAUUACCCAUUCCCGUUAUUCUCACUUUAAUGUCCCUAAAACAACUAACAUAAGGGACCUAGUCUAAAAAUAUUUCAUCGGGGCGACAACACAUGCUUCGGGGGUACCUCAGCAAUAUAAGUCAAAUAAGGCAACCGUGAGGGGGAUGGAGUACAGCGAAUGAACACCCAAGUUCACUAACACCUACAGGUGGCGAACCUGAUAAUGUUCCACAAGACUAUGUAGAAAAAUCAGUGGUCGUCAUCUAAACUCCGCUAGAUGACUAAUCAAACAACAACGAGGCCUCUCAUCUGUUUAUUACACACCAACUGGCUACCCAUGUUCUACCCAACAUAUUAGUAGAUAAAAAUAUACAUUUGUAUACAUAGUUUAAAAACCUAUAUAGCAUGCUUUAAUCAACACAUAUUUCCAAUAACAGAUGAAGCACACACACACAUAACACGUAUCUCAUACAGAAUAAAUCAUAUCUAUGAGUUAGAAGAAAGUGAAUACACAUUCACACACAUAACCAAAAAAUUAUACACAUAAUACAUAUUCCGUAUAAAAUACUUCAUAAUUAUGCGUUAGAAGAAAAUAACUACACACUCACUUGAUCAGAAGAUGAUCGGACAGCACUACGGCUUAUAGAAGUAGUAAUCCUCAGCAGAUCUGGAAGAUCUUCUCAAAAAUCGAACUUCUCGCGGGCAGAGCUUCGACUCGGGAACCGCACUUUUCGGGAUCUUCGGGAUCUCGGGACUUGCCUCGGGGCUAGAGUAUGAUACCGGGACUUCGGGGUAGCUUCGGGGGUUUUUGCACAGAGCUUCGACACGAAAACGAGAGGGAAUUGGCAAAAAUACCCGGAACCCUCGCAUCCUAUUUAUAGGAGGCUGGAGCCUCGGAGUACGCGGGGCGUAUUGGUCCGAAAUCGUCAUUGUGUUCGUCAUCCGAAGUCCUCGAGUGCGAGUGUCGACAUCCUCGGUGUACGCGGGGCGUACUUCCGAUGAGUCUGAUGACUCGUCCUCGGAUAAUACCGGAUUUUCCAAUUAAAAUUAAAUACAAAUUAUUUAAUAAACUUCGGAAAUUCAUAUCUUCUUCAUACGAACUCCGUUUUCGACGUUCUUUAUAUCCACGCGAAGGUGAGACUACGCUCUACAACUUUCGUUUAGACUCCGUCGGCUAAUUUUGACUUUAUUUUUAUUAAUUAUUUUUAAUAGGCCGGGACAGAAACUUUCGUUAUAAAUUCAUAACUUCUUCGUUUGACGUCCGUUCUCGCCUAACUUUUUAUCGCUUCGAUACCAACAAUGAGAUCUUCGAUUCUCAUUUAGAUUGCUUCGGCUAACAACCGCUCGAUCUCAAAUCGAGUAAAACAGGCUGUAUAUCGCUAAGCCGGAACUUCGAUAAAUCAUAACUUCCUCAUACGAAGUCAGAUUUGGGCGUUCUAUAUAUAUUCGGAAACCUCGUUUCAACUACUACAACAUUAACCAAAUAUAUUAAGUUUAUUUUACACUUAAAUUUUGACGCUUAUUUUUAUUCUUAAUUAAUCAAACCACAUAAUUAAGCAAUUAAGCACAAAACACACAAUACUCAAAUAAUACAAUCUUAUUAUUUCAAAACGGGUUACAGAGGUUAACCUAGACUAUUACAUUGCUACAAAUGGCAAGCCGGAAACACAGGCGUUACAAUUCUCUCCACCUUAGAAUGAUUCCGUCCCCGGAAUCACACAUCAACAAACAAAUGCGGAUAGCGACUCAACAUGUCACUCUCCGUCUCCCAGGUGAGAUUCGGCCCAUUCGUGUGUUUCCAUCGGACAAGCACUAACCCAACCAUUUUGCGUCGCAACUUCUUAGUCUUUCGGUCAACAAUUGCCUCUGGUUCUUCAAUCAACCUUUUGUUCUCAUCAAUUCUCAAUUCAGAAAUUGGAAUUAUGUCGGGAACUUCUCCCGUGAACUUCCUCAAAUAACACACAUGAAAAGUGUUGUGAAUUCCAUUUAGUUCUUCAGGUAAUUUGAGCUUUUAAGCUUGGUUCCCAACCCUCUGAAGAACUUUAAACGGUCCAAUAAACCUUGGACUCAACUUUCCCCUUUAACCAAAUCUUAUAAGUCCCUUCCACAGCGACACUUUAAGAAAAACCGAAUCUCCAACCUCAAAAGUCAUCGGUCUUCGCUUCUUGUCAGCAUAGCUCUUUUGACGAUCUUGAGCUGCUAACAUUCUUUCUCUAAUUAUUUUCAACUUUUCAGCAGUUUGAUGAACCAUCUCCGGUCCCAUAAACUGCUUUUCCCCAGCCUCAAGCCAACAAGACGGCGUACGACACUUCUGUCCAUACAAAGCUUGGUAAGGUGCCAUCUUAAUGCUCGAGUGGAAACUAUUAUUGUAGGAAAAUUCUACCAAUGGUAAAUGUUCAUCCCAAUUACCUAGGAAUUCCAAGGUACAUGCUCUCAGCAUAUCUUCAAGUGUUUGUAUCGUUCUUUUACUCUGACCAUCAGUCUACGGAUGGUAAGUUGUACUUAAACAAAACUUGGUACCCAUUUCCUCUUGUAGACAUUUCCAAAACCUCGAGGUGAAACAGCUAUGACGAUCCGACACAAUCGUUAACGGAACACCGUGAAGCCUCACAAUUUCCUUCACAUAAGAAUUCUCAAGCUUUUCCAUAGACCAUUUAUGCUUGGCUACUAUGAAAUGCGCACUCUUAGUGAAUCAAUCAACGACCACCCAAAUCAUGUCGUGACCAUUCUUUGUUCUGGGCAGUUUAGUGACAAAAUCCAUAGCAAUGUCUUCCCAUUUACCCAUAGGCACAGGUAAAGGUUCUAAACUCCCACAGGUAAAGGUCCCUAUACAUUAUAGUGCUACCAGGAUGAAUCGAGUACAUGGUCUUGUGAGCUUCUUCCAUCAGAAGAUCUCUGAUUCCUCCUGUCUUAGGUAUCCAAAUCCGAUCUUGGAACACCUUCAGUCCAUGACUGUUUACACCGAACACCAACGUUUUGCCCAAACGUUCCUCCUUUCUGUCAUUCUUCUCAGAAGCUUCGCUCUGAGCUUUCUUUAUACUUUCCAAAAUAGUUGAGACAACUUCAAUUCUCAACGCUCUUGGCCUUUUCCUUUCGGGAUUGACUUUCCGACUGAGAGCAUCAGCAACAACAUUAGCUUUACCGGGGUGGUAAAGUAUCUCGCAGUCAUAGUCUUUAAGUAAUUCUAGCCAGCGUCGUUGCCUCAUAUUCAAUUCUUUCUGAUUAAAGAGGUAUUGGAGACUCUUAUGAUCAGUGAAAAGUUUGCACUUCGUGCCAUAGAGGUAAUGCCUCCAUAUUUUCAGAGCGAAAACUACCGCUGCCAACUCCAAAUCAUGAGUCGGGUAAUUCUUUUCAUGCUCUUUCAGCUGUCGAGACGCAUAUGCUAUCACCUUUUCUCUUUGGGUCAAAACACAACCCAAUCCAACACCAGACGCAUCGCUAUAAACAGCGAAGUCUUCAACUCCAUCGGGUAGAGAAAGUAUCGGUGCCUCGCAUAGCUUCUUCUUUAACUUCUCGAAUGCUUCUUUAUGCUUCUCACUCCAAGCAUAAGUAGCUCCUUUGUGGGUCAAAGCUGUCAAUGGAGUAGCAAUCGAAGAAAAGCCUUGGAUAAACCUUCGGUAAUAUCCGGCUAAUCCUAAAAAGCUUCGAAUCUCCGUGGGACUUUUCGGUUGUUCCCACUUCGUCACAGCUUCGAUCUUCGCUGGAUCAACCAUUAUCCCUUCUUGGUUGACCACGUGACCCAAGAAUUGGACUUCACGAAUCCAAAAAUCACAUUUGGAGAACUUAGCAUACAGCUUCUCCUUCUUCAAGACUUCUAACACUUCUCGCAAGUGUCUGCCAUGCUCCUCCUGGCUUUUCGAGUAAAUCAGAAUGUCGUCUAUGAACACUAUCACGGAUUUAUCAAGGAACGGGUUACAAACCCUAUUCAUCAAAUCCAUGAACGCUGCUGGAGCAUUGGUUAGUCCAAACGACAUAACCAAGAACUCGUAGUGUCCAUAUCUAGUUCUGAAUGCAGUCUUCUCGAUAUCUUGCUCUCUUACUUUCAGCUGAUGAUAUCCUGACCUAAGAUCGAUCUUCGAGAAAUAGCUCGAACCUUGCAAUUGAUCAAACAGGUCAUCAAUCCUCGGCAACGGAUAUCUAUUCUUUAUUGUUGCCUUGUUCAGCUCUCUGUAAUCGAUGCACAUUCUCAUACUUCCAUCUUUCUUCUUUACAAAUAACACCGGAGCUCCCCAGGGCGAUGAACUAGGUCUAAUGAAACCUUUGUCCAAUAACUCCUGAAGUUGCAUCAUUAGCUCCUUCAUCUCCGUCGGUGCUAAUCGAUAAGGUGCUUUUGCUAUUGGCGUGGUUCCUGGUAACAAGUCUAUUCUGAACUCCACUUGUCUAUCAGGUGGUAAUCCAGGAAGAUCCUCGGGAAAUACUUCCGGAUAAUCACACACCACUGGAAUACUCUGCAUCACCUUCUUUUCUUUCUUAGCAUCAAUCACGAAUGCUAAAUAUGAUGUACAUCCCUUGGUCAAACACUUUCUGGCUUUCAUUAGAGAAAUGAUUCCAGAAUUCACUCUGCGUUUGUCCCCAUACACCAUAAACGAAUCUUUCCCAGGCGGGUUUACUUUAACUAUCUUCUUCUUGCACAAAAUUUCGGCAUCAUUGGCGCUAAGCCAAUCCAUUCCCAAGACGAUGUCGAAACCAUUUAGUUCGAUAGGCAAUAAUUCCUCGAGAAACUUAUUCCCAUUAAGGUCGAUCAAGACGUUUUUCAUACGAUGGCUAACAGGUACAAACUUGCCACUAGCUACUUCGACUAAUAAAGCAUUAUUUAGUCUAUCAACAGGCAAAGCUAGCUUUCUACCAAACUCAUGCGAAAUAAAGGAGUAGUUGGCUCCAGAAUCAAACAAUAUAUGAGCAGGUAAUUCGUUUACGAGAAAGGUACCUGAAGCGACAUCAGCUUCAUCUUUCGCAGCCUCAAGUGUCAUCUGGAAGGCUCUCGCCUUCGGCUUUGGUGGAAUGUUGGGCCUAGCUGCCUCCUUCUUCUUCGGACAGUCUUUCAAAAUAUGCCCCUCUUCAUUACAACCAAAACACAUCCUUUUGUUGUUCGGACAUUCAUUGGCAAAAUGUCCAACCUUUCCACACUUGUAGCAGGUCACAUCCUCGCUACAUUUCCCAAAGUGCUUUUUCUUACACUUAUCACACCACUUCGCUUCGCCUCCUUUUCCUCCAAACUUUUUCGAAUCAGAUUUCGAAAAUUUGCUCUUCUUACUGGAACCAGAUGUUCCUUCAAACUUCCUUUUCUCACCAACCUCAACCUUGACGGUGGUUCUCCCCUUGAUCAUGUUCUCCACAGACUUGGCAGCCCAGAUAGCUGCCUCUAGAGUAAGUGCCUGACGUACUGGCACCUCGUACUCCCAUGGAAGUCCCUUCGCAUACCGAUCCACCUUUGUCAGCUCGUCUGGAACGAUACGCAAGGCAAACUCCAUCUUAUCGGUGAAGUUAUUGGUGUAUUCAUCAACUGACAUGCUACCCUUCGUCAAUGUCAAAAACUUAUUCUCCAACUCCAACAGAUUUUGAGCCGAGCAGAACUUGCGCUUGAACUGCACCAAGAACUCUGCCCAUGACAAUUGCAGUGGCUCAUUAGGGCUUAAGGUCUUCCCUAGAGUGUUCCACCAACGAACGGCUCCACCUCGGAAUUGUCGCACGGCAUAGAUAGUCUGCAACUUGCCUCUACAGCCACAUGUCAUAAAGGCUAACUCCAUUUCGGAGAUCCAAUCCAUAACCCCAAUCGGAUCCUCCUUUCCAUUGAAGGUCGAUGGUUUACAAGUCAAAAAGUCCUUGUACUUGCAUCCCAUUCCAUCAUUCCUUCCAUCAUGGUUAUCUUGCCUAACUAUCGGUGGGUUGGCUGGACCAACAGACCCACUGAAGUUUCCACCUUCCGAGUGCCCUUCAUUCAGUUCAGGCUCUUCCACACGAAUCGACAGUUCUUCACGAUUUUGUUGAAGCAACCGUCUAGUUUCAUCCAUCUGACGAUCCAACAUCGUCUGAAUCAUCAAUUGCACACCAGCCAUGGUUAUUGGCUCAGGUGCUGCUGCUACGACAGGUAUUGGCUCAAUCACUGGUGGUUGAUUCCUGUUUUCGUCAGCAUUUCCAACUCCACUUCUUGUUCUCACCAUUUUGAUCUACACACCGAAUAAGGUGAAAUUAGAUCCUCAAUCAUGAUAGAUAUUCAAAUCAUCCUUAUCACUCCGAAACGUUUACAUGCUAGUUCUAAUAUCGUAGACGUACGCUUAGAAUCCUACACACAUAAGGUUUCUAGAUCCGGUCGGCAACAGACCAUAGAUCCGAACAAAUAAUAUCAUAUAUGGCAACAUAUAACAUUUAGCACAUAAAGCAUUUUAGGCAACUUUCCUAAAAUAAACUAGUGCUCGUGUCUAAAACACAACAGACACACAUCUCAAAACUUCACUUAGCAUUCUAAGUUUAAGUCUAGAAAUCCUACAAAUUCCUAGUUCGCUUAAACUAAUGCUCUGAUACCAACUGUGACAUCCCCAAAAUCUCGGCCAGAAAAGACCGAUUUUCAUUUAUGCUUUUAAAUAUUUUCAGAGUAAAUCCUUUUGAUUUGAAAGAGUUGCGGAAUUUGUUCCCAAAAACAAAACAUGAUAAAACAUUGUUUACCGAAGCAUUUCAUAAAAGAAAUGUAUUUUUAUUAUAAUCAAAACUCGGGGUGUCAUGUUCCGAUACAGACCAAUAAGCAUAAACAAUAACAUUACAAGUCAUUCGACAAUAUAUACAUAUACAGACUUGUAAACAAAACAAACUUGAUGGUUCAUCCAUCUCAUGCCCUUCCGCCACUACCUGUAAUACAAUUUAAAACUGAGUGGGUCAGGCUUGGGAGCCUGGUGAGCAUAUAGGGUUUUCAACCCACAAUAAAUAUCAUAUUUAAUUUUCACCAACCAACAAUAACCCAAUUACCCAUUCCCGUUAUUCUCACUUUAAUGUCCCUAAAACAACUAACAUAAGGGACCUAGUCUAAGAAUAUUUCAUCGGGGCGACAACACAUGCUUCGGGGGUACCUCAGCAAUAUAAGUCAAAUAAGGCAACCGUGAGGGGGCUGAAGCCUCAGAGUACGUGGGGCGUAUGCCAGUACGCGGGGCGUACUGGUCUGAAAUCGUCACUGCGUUCGUCAUCCGAAGUCCUCGAGUGUGAGUGUCGACAUCCUCGGUGUACGCGGGGCGUACUUCGGAUGAGUCCGAUGACUCGUCCUCGGAUAAUUCCGGAUUUUCCAAUUAAAAUUAAAUACAAAUUAUUUAAUAAAUUUCGGAAAUUCAUAUCUUCUUCAUACGAACUCCGUUUUCGACGUUCUUUAUAUCCACGCGUAGGUGAGACUACGCUCUACAACUUUCGUUUAGACUCCGUCGGCUAAUUUUAAAUUUAUUUUUAAUAGGCCGGGACACAAACUUCCGUUAUAAAUUCAUAACUUCCUUGUUUGACGUCCGUUCUCGCCUAACUUUUCAUCGCUUCGAUACCAACAACAAGAUCUUCGAUUCUCAUUUAGAUUGCUUCGGCUAACAAACGCUCGAUCUCAAAUCGAGUAAAACAGGCUGUAUACCGCUAAGCCGGAACUUCGAUAAAUCAUAACUUUCUCAUACGAAGUCAGAUUUAGGCGUUCUAUAUGUAUUUGGAAACCUCGUUUCAACUACUACAACUUUAUCCAAAGAUAUCAAGUUUAUUUUACACUUAAAUUUUGACGCUUAGUUUUAUUCUUACUUAAUCAAACCACAUAAUUAAGCAAUUUAGCACAAAACACAUAAUACUCAAAUAAUACACUCUUAUUGUUUCAAAACGGGUUACAAAGGUUAACCUAGACUAUUACAUUGCUAAAAAUAGCAAGCCCGGAAAUACAAGCGUUACAUGCGUGCCUGCUCGUAGGACACGUGCUCUUGGCAGAACAUCGCCCGCUCAUGAAACAUCCUCGUAAUCACCGUAACAGACUCAGUACCCUGCUUGAGGGUCAGAAACUCCUGGGCCAAACGCUCCCUCUCCACCUGGGGAACGUACUCAUCUCGGAACAUAGCAGUGAACCUCUCCCAGGUCACUGCUGCAAGCUCAGCAGGCGUAUAGUGCGCCAUCACAAAUUUCCACUAGUCCUUCGCUCCCAAGCGAAGCUGGUUCAGCGCGAACCGGACUCUCAAAUGCUCAGGAGAUGAGCAAGUAAAGAAACACCCCUCUAUGUCUGAAAUCCAUCUCAUCGCCGCAAUCGGGUCCUGGGUCCCGUCAAACUCCGGUGGUUUUGUGUUGCUGAACUCUCGGAACAGCAACGCAUCACCACCCUGCGGCCUAGUCGCAACUAUAGCUGCAGUGGCUGCAGCAACAGCAGCCUCAGAAAGAGCAGCGUACUUCUCAUCAAAUGUCUCUAUCAACGUGGUCUUGAUAGACCCGAACAUCUCUGGUAUCUCUGCCCUGAUGGCCGCAGCCACCUCCUCCUGGAUGAUCCUACGGAACUCCUCAUCCCUCGUAUCACUGGUCCAUGGCGUGUGGCGAGUCCCAACCAUGAUCUCUCUCUCUGAAAUACAAUAUAAGAAUAAUAUCAGGGACUCACUCAAGUAUACUCACUCUUGAGUACUCUAUCCUACUUGUUCAUUGGUACUCCAAAGAUUCUUACUUGGACUGUGCACUGACCCGGUGUCUUCAGUUGUACAGGCCCAAUACUACCGUCCACACCGCAUCAGCAUCCACCCCAAGUCCUCCUCCCAGAGUCCCAAGUCCCAAGCACUCUACUCUCUCUAAUCAUAUGAUACUCGCAAACAGAUCUCUCACAAUCUCCUCGCUGCUACCUAACCACUCUGAAAUAUUCAUAGCAGCAAGACUCCUAGACUCAGGCAUCACAUAUCAGGCCACUCUAGUCCUAAUAAGAAUACCUAGUCUACUCUAGCAUGCAUAUCAUAGCUCAUCAUAUAACAUAUCACAUCAUAUCUCAUAACACUUAUAAUAAUGGUAUUUUGGGAAAUCACCGUUCGGGCGCUGGCUGUUCGUACACACGACUCUGCUCUGUUUGUCUCGCAAGUUCUUCUUUUGAAAACUUGUUUUAUUAUCCAAAUUUUUCUCAAAUCCUCGGUUUGAGUUCAGAUAAGCCCGAAGGUGCACCCGAAUCCCUCAAACCUAGGCUCUGAUACCAACUUGUAACACCGUAAAAUUUAAAACAAUUUUUCACAUUUGAAAACACAUUUUAAAUAAAACCAUUCAUUCAUAAAAUCUCAUAACAUCAUGUUUUUAAUUCACAAAUGUCUCCCAAGAUCAAAAUACAUCCAAUCCCAUAUGUGUGUACGAAUCAAGCCGGCGCCUUCCCGCGGUCAUCACUGGUACCUGAAACACAUAACACUGAACACUUUAAGCAUAAGCUUAGUGAGUUCCCCAAAAUACCACACUAAUCACAUAAUAGCCACUCGAGGUUGUAACUCUGUUGACCUUCUGGUUAAUGUGUCUCAGUGGGGCCUCCAGCCCUAACUCUCUGUUGGCCCUCUGGCCCUAACUCUAGGGACCCGAAAGUCCCAACUCUGUAACUCUAAAUCAUGCAUAUCACAUAUCACAACAAAUCACAACACAUAAUAACAUGCAAUCACACUGGCAUAUAACUGUAUAAUACUCUGUCUCUGAACUCUAUUACCACACUAGGUAAAGUAUAGUGAGAAGACUCACCUCGGGUAUCUUGGUAAAUCUCUGACUCGGUAAACGCUGGCCUAGCCUCUGCCUAAUCAUAUGAAAAGAAUACUCUAUUUAAUAUAACUCUCGAAGGCAAGACUAUGUUCUCUUAUGACACUCUCAGAAGGGUAAAUGACCAUUUUACCCCUCCCAUAGCUCAAAGGCCCCACAAUAUACCAUACCAUAAAAGUUAACCAAAAGUCAAUACUCCGGGUUACGCUGCGCGUACCAGAUGUGUACGCUGGGCGUACCCGACUGCUUCACAGAAUCGGGGAGCGCCACCCAGUACGCGGCGCGUACUGGGGAUUACACCCGACGUACUCCCCUGCUUCAGCCCUUUUUGCUCUUGAGGUCUUAAAAAGUUAAGACCUACGUCCAUAUUUUAGAUCUGACCCCUUCUAAGCCCCUUAACCCAUAAAGUUGAUGACUUUAAGCCUGUGCAUGGCUGAACAAGUCACUAACUCCCAAAAUGAUCCAACCUUCAACUCUAGAAGGCUUAAAACACAUGCAUGACUCCAAGGUAACAUCCAAGAUGGGAACUUUAUGGAUCUACAUCACUAAUAACACUGAAAUGGGACAGAUCUCGGACCAUGGAGCACUUUACACUCAUAAUGUCUCCACCUUUGGGGUUAUUAGUCCUAAAAAGGACACAUACAACAACAACCAAAUGAAGAUGAAAGUUUUGAACUUUAUACCUCCAAGAGUAGCUCUUUCCUCUAUAGAUCCCAGAUCCAAAAUGGCACCUCAAGCUGUAGCCUCCAAGAUCUCCUUUCCUCCUUCUUCUCCAAGCUACUAAAGCACCAACAAGCUCAAAUCAACACUGUCUCACUCUGAGAACGAUGGGGCUCUCUUUUAGGGUUUCACUCACUGAUAUGGAGGCUAAGGAAUGAGCCAUAACACCCUUUAAAUAGUGCACAUGGAGGAUUAGGGUUUUUGCACCUGGGUUGGGUAUGCCCGGCGUAACUCUAGGUACACCCAGCGUACCUUGGCGACUCCGCGUCCAAAUUAAGCGCGUGAGUACGCGCAGCGUACCCCUCUGGUACGCCCAACAUACUCACUUGCUACACAUCUUCCAAUCAACGACUAAAUAUGACAAUUCGAUAAAGAACAAGGAUGAAGGAAAUGCACCUGAAUCUCGGGAUGUUACACCGGUUAGGU
RNAcentral lists this long non-coding RNA (15410 nucleotides) under Lactuca sativa (garden lettuce). RNAcentral's name for it is "long non-coding RNA (LSAT_LNC000852)". The record is from RNAcentral. Lineage: Eukaryota; Viridiplantae; Streptophyta; Magnoliopsida; Asterales; Asteraceae.